This 458-nucleotide ribosomal RNA is filed under the name uncultured Pelotomaculum sp. Its description in RNAcentral is "bacterial SSU rRNA". It matches the Rfam family "Bacterial small subunit ribosomal RNA", at positions 926 to 1382 of the family's 1533-position model. Lineage: Bacteria; Bacillati; Bacillota; Clostridia; Eubacteriales; Desulfotomaculaceae. The record is from RNAcentral.
CAAGCGGUGGAGCAUGUGGUUAAUUCGACGCAACGCGAAGAACCUUACCAGGGCUUGACAUCCCCUGACCGCGUAUGAAAGUACGUUUUCACCCUCGGGUGACAGGGAGACAGGUGGUGCAUGGUUGUCGUCAGCUCGUGUCGUGAGAUGUUGGGUUAAGUCCCGCAACGAGCGCAACCCCUACGUUUAGUUGCUAACGCGUGAAGGCGAGCACUCUAGACGAACUGCCGUUGACAAAACGGAGGAAGGUGGGGAUGACGUCAAAUCAUCAUGCCCCUUAUGUUCUGGGCUACACACGUGCUACAAUGGCCGGUACAGACGGACGCAAAGCCGCGAGGUGGAGCAAAUCCUAAAAAGCCGGUCUCAGUUCGGAUUGCAGGCUGCAAUUCGCCUGCAUGAAGUCGGAAUCGCUAGUAAUCGCAGGUCAGCAUACUGCGGUGAAUACGUUCCCGGGCCUU